AGUGAACGCUGGCGGUAGGCCUAACACAUGCAAGUCGAACGGCAGCACAGUAAGAGCUUGCUCUUACGGGUGGUGAGUGGCGGACGGGUGAGGAAUACAUCGGAAUCUACUUUUUCGUGGGGGAUAACGUAGGGAAACUUACGCUAAUACCGCAUACGACCUACGGGUGAAAGCAGGGGAUCUUCGGACCUUGCGCGAUUGAAUGAGCCGAUGUCGGAUUAGCUAGUUGGCGGGGUAAAGGCCCACCAAGGCGACGAUCCGUAGCUGGUCUGAGAGGAUGAUCAGCCACACUGGAACUGAGACACGGUCCAGACUCCUACGGGAGGCAGCAGUGGGGAAUAUUGGACAAUGGGCGCAAGCCUGAUCCAGCCAUACCGCGUGGGUGAAGAAGGCCUUCGGGUUGUAAAGCCCUUUUGUUGGGAAAGAGAAGCAGCAGGUUAAUACCCCGCUGUUCUGACGGUACCCAAAGAAUAAGCACCGGCUAACUUCGUG
RNAcentral lists this ribosomal RNA (492 nucleotides) under uncultured bacterium. Its description in RNAcentral is "partial 16S ribosomal RNA". It matches the Rfam family "Bacterial small subunit ribosomal RNA", at positions 29 to 507 of the family's 1533-position model. The record is from RNAcentral.